CGGGCGGUAGCUCAGCUUGGUAGAGCGCUCGGUUUGGGACCGAGAGGUCCGCAGGUUCAAGUCCUGUCCGCCCGA
This 75-nucleotide transfer RNA is filed under the name Vulcanimicrobiota bacterium. RNAcentral describes it as "tRNA-Pro". It matches the Rfam family "tRNA". From Rfam's summary of the family: Transfer RNA (tRNA) molecules are approximately 80 nucleotides in length. The record is from RNAcentral. Lineage: Bacteria; Bacillati; Vulcanimicrobiota.